CCCUUGACGGUAUCUAACCAGAAAGCCACGGCUAACUACGUGCCAGCAGCCGCGGUAAUACGUAGGUGGCAAGCGUUAUCCGGAAUUAUUGGGCGUAAAGCGCGCGCAGGUGGUUUCUUAAGUCUGAUGUGAAAGCCCCCGGCUCAACCGUGGAGGGUCAUUGGAAACUGGGAGACUUGAGUGCAGAAGAGGAAAGUGGAAUUCCAUGUGUAGCGGUGAAAUGCGUAGAGAUAUGGAGGAACACCAGUGGCGAAGGCGACUUUCUGGUCUGUAACUGACACUGAGGCUCGAAAGCGUGGGGAGCAAACAGGAUUAGAUACCCUGGUAGUCCACGCCGUAAACGAUGAGUGCUAAGUGUUAGAGGGUUUCCGCCCUUUAGUGCUGCAAGCUAACGCAUUAAGCACUCCGCCUGGGGAGUACGACCGCAAGGUUGAAACUCAAAGGAAUUGACGGGGGCCCGCACAAGCGGUGGAGCAUGUGGUUUAAUUCGAAGCAACGCGAAGAACCUUACCAGGUCUUGACAUCCUUUGACCACCCUAGAGAUAGGGCUUUUCCUUCGGGGACAAAGUGACAGGUGGUGCAUGGUUGUCGUCAGCUCGUGUCGUGAGAUGUUGGGUUAAGUCCCGCAACGAGCGCAACCCUUAAUGUUAGUUGCCAUCAUUUAGUUGGGCACUCUAAGGAGACUGCCGGUGACAAACCGGAGGAAGGUGGGGAUGACGUCAAAUCAUCAUGCCCCUUAUGACCUGGGCUACACACGUGCUACAAUGGGAAGUACAAAGAGUCGCAAGACCGCGAGGUCGAGCUAAUCUCAUAAAGCUUUUCUCAGUUCGGAUUGCAGGCUGCAACUCGCCUACAUGAAGCCGGAAUCGCUAGUAAUCGCGGAUCAGCACGCCGCGGUGAAUACGUUCCCGGGCCUUGUACACACCGCCCGUCACACCACGAGAGUUUGUAACACCCGAAGUCGGUGGGGUAACCUUUUUGAGCC
This 985-nucleotide ribosomal RNA is filed under the name Bacillus sp. B.8.3.3A. Its description in RNAcentral is "bacterial SSU rRNA". It matches the Rfam family "Bacterial small subunit ribosomal RNA", at positions 466 to 1450 of the family's 1533-position model. Lineage: Bacteria; Bacillati; Bacillota; Bacilli; Caryophanales; Bacillaceae. The record is from RNAcentral.